RNAcentral lists this ribosomal RNA (406 nucleotides) under uncultured bacterium. RNAcentral's name for it is "partial 16S ribosomal RNA". It matches the Rfam family "Bacterial small subunit ribosomal RNA", at positions 30 to 526 of the family's 1533-position model. The record is from RNAcentral.
AUUGAACGCUGGCGGCAGGCCUAACACAUGCAAGUCGAACGAGUGGCGGACGGGUGAGUAAUGUCUGGGUAACUGCCCGACGUAGGUGGAUAACUACUGGAAACGGUAGCUAAUUCCGCAUACCAUCGGAUGUGCCCAGAUGGGAUUAGCUUGUAGGUGGGGUAACGGCUCACCUAGGCGACGAACCCUAGCUGGUCUGUGGGGAUGACCAGCGAAGCGGGAACUGAGAACAGGUCCAGACUGCGACGUGAGGCAGCGGUGGGUAAUAUUGCACAAUGGGCGAAAGCCUGAUGCAGCCAUGCCGCGUGUAUGAAGAAGGUCAUCGGAUUGUAAAGCACUUUAAGUUGGGAGGCGUUACCAACAGAGUAAGCACCGGCUAACUUCGUGCCAGCAGCCGCGGUAAUAC